AUCCAGCUGACGAGUUCUAAAUAGGACGAAACGUGCGUCCUGGAU
RNAcentral lists this non-coding RNA (45 nucleotides) under Schistosoma margrebowiei. Lineage: Eukaryota; Metazoa; Platyhelminthes; Trematoda; Strigeidida; Schistosomatidae. The record is from RNAcentral.